GUAGGUGGCAAGCGUUGUCCGGAAUUAUUGGGCGUAAAGCGCGCGCAGGCGGUCCUUUAAGUCUGAUGUGAAAGCCCACGGCUCAACCGUGGAGGGUCAUUGGAAACUGGGGGACUUGAGUACAGAAGAGGAAAGCGGAGUUCCAAGUGUAGCGGUGAAAUGCGUAGAGAUUUGGAGGAACACCAGUGGCGAAGGCGGCUUUCUGGUCUGGGUAACUGACGCUGAGGCGCGAAAGCGUGGGGAGCAAACAGGGAUUAGAUACCCUGGUAGUCCACGCCGUAAACGAUGAGUGCUAAGUGUUAGGGGGUUUCCCGCCCCUUAGUGCUGCAGCUAACGCAUUAAGCACUCCGCCUGGGGAGUACGGCCGCAAGGCUG
Molecule: ribosomal RNA, 375 nt
Filed under: uncultured organism
Description: partial 16S ribosomal RNA
Rfam family: Bacterial small subunit ribosomal RNA
Source: RNAcentral